GACGUAGGGCGCGAGCGUUGUCCGGAUUUAUUGGGCGUAAAGAGCUCGUAGGCGGCUUGUCACGUCGACCGUGAAAACUUGGGGCUCAACCCUAAGCCUGCGGUCCGAUACGGGCAGGCUCGAGUUCGGUAGGGGAGACUGGAAUUCCUGGUGUAGCGGUGGAAUGCGCAGAUAUCAGGAGGAACACCGAUGGCGAAGGCAGGAUCU
RNAcentral lists this ribosomal RNA (207 nucleotides) under uncultured bacterium. RNAcentral's name for it is "partial 16S ribosomal RNA". It matches the Rfam family "Bacterial small subunit ribosomal RNA", at positions 524 to 728 of the family's 1533-position model. The record is from RNAcentral.